UGCUGCAAAAAUUCUACAGCUGAGUUGGGUCUUUGCAGGAAAAAGUUCUGCAGCAAACACCAUCUUAGACACAGAAGAGUUUGGUCCUGGAAGACAAACUAAGACAUGUACAAGACGUACUGGUGAGGUGGCUGGGAGGCAAGUCACUGUGGUAGAUACACCAGCCCACCUGACAAGGUCAAAGAUGAGAUCUUGAAAGGAGUGUCUCUGUAGUCUCCGGCACCCCAUGCCGUCCUCCUGGUGGUCCCUGCAGACACGCCAUUCACCGAAGAACAAAAACAGAACAUACAUGAGAACAUGGCUAUGUUUGGAGAGGGAGUCUGGACACACACUAUUGUGCUGUUUACCUGGGGAGAAUGGCUAGAAGAAGACAUAACCAUUGAGCAGCACAUUGAAAGUGAAGGGAAGGCUCUCCAGUGGCUUGUUGAGAAAUGUGGGAACAGGUAUCAUGUUCUCAACAAUAAGAACACGGGUGAUGGCACUCAUGUCACAGAGCUGCUGGAGAAGAUAGAGGAAAUAUCCAGAGCAAUGUAAAGGCAGAUGAUGACACCAUUAGUGCAAUCACUCCUGUUGAUGAGUACCAAGAGCUCAAUGGUGGUACAGGGUGAGUUGGAGGAGUUGUUGAGAAUUCUCAAUGAAGAAAGGGAGUGUAAGAACAUGCGGAUGAAGAACAAAACAAGGAAGGCACGGAUCGACAUCUGCGAGACAGGAUGGAAGCGUGGAUCAAGCAAAUAAUUUUGGGAUGGAGAAAUCAGACGAAUCAGAGGACAGGUACAUCCUUCUCGGGAAGAAGGGGAAGAGGAAAUGGAGGAACCAAGGGAGAUGAAUGGAGGGGAAAUUACUUCAACUUUGACAGCAACCACUUCUGCCCACACUGACUCUCAUCCAUCUGUGGUUGGAAAUCCAGUUGGCGGGCAACUUACUGACAGGUUAAAGAACAUGUUGGAGAGGGAGUGGGCCAGACGAGAAGCUGAGAUAAUAUACAAAUUGAAUGUGUCACUUCAGGACAUAAGAGAUAACCUAUACACUUUUCCAUGUCUUUGGCCAGUUUAUUUAAACAAAUGCUGUAUCAUUACCUUAAAAUGGUAUGGUGAUGGAUUCCUGUAUAACUACGACUCUAAUUAAUCAACAUAUACAACAGCCUAAUGAACAACUUCACCAUAUUAAUAUGAACAAACACAUUCACCUUGAUUAGGCGAUGAUGAUUUUAUGACAGUAUUAUUUGUGAUUCUUUAUUUCACAGGUAUGCAGCCAGUGCAGGGUGAUUAUGAGAUUAAGAACAUUAAGGCGUGGCUGAGACAGGUGGAACACUGACAGCUAGGUUAAAAGAGAAAAUAAAGAAAAAGCCUACAUAAACUCUGCUAAGCUACUCCUCAGAAUGGUAUAAUUUACAAUUAACAUUAACCUUCCGAUCUUAAAGGUGCAGUAUGCAGAAAUUGCUCCG
This is a long non-coding RNA of Coregonus clupeaformis (lake whitefish), 1444 nucleotides long. RefSeq lists it as uncharacterized. The transcript is spliced from 3 exons. NCBI's taxonomy places the organism in Eukaryota, Metazoa, Chordata, Actinopteri, Salmoniformes, Salmonidae. The record is from RefSeq and is a predicted model, not a curated record.